This is a ribosomal RNA of Sinocyclocheilus grahami, 108 nucleotides long. The record is from Ensembl. NCBI's taxonomy places the organism in Eukaryota, Metazoa, Chordata, Actinopteri, Cypriniformes, Cyprinidae.
UGCCACAGCCAUAUCACCCUGCAACCCAAGACUGGUUGCCCACUGAAGCUAAGCAGGGUUGAGCCUGGUCAGUACCUGGAUAGGAGACUUGGAAGGUUGCUGUUGGAA